Molecule: ribosomal RNA, 440 nt
Filed under: uncultured bacterium
Lineage: Bacteria
Description: partial 16S ribosomal RNA
Rfam family: Bacterial small subunit ribosomal RNA
Source: RNAcentral
CCUACGGGAGGCUGCCGUGGGGGAUAUUGCACAAUGGGGGAAACCCUGAUGCAGCGACGCCGCGUGGGUGAAGACGCGUUUCGGCGUGUAAAGCUCUGUCAGCAGGGAAGAAAAUGACAGUACCUGAACAAGAAGCCCCGGCUAACUACGUGCCAGCAGCCGCGGUAAUACGUAGGGGGCAAGCGUUAUCCUGAUUUACUGGGUGUAAAGGGGGCGGAGACGGCGAUGUAAGUCAGGAGUGAAAGCCCGGGGCCCAACCCCGGGACUGCUUGGGAAACUGGGUGGCUGGAGUGCAGGAGGGGCAGGCGGAAUUCCUGGUGUAGCGGUGAAAUGCGUAGAUAUCAGGAGGAACACCGGUGGCGAAGGCGGCCUGCUGGACUGAAACUGACGUUGAGGCUCGAAAGCGUGGGGAGCAAACAGGAUUAGAUACCCUGGUAGUC